RNAcentral lists this ribosomal RNA (506 nucleotides) under uncultured bacterium. Its description in RNAcentral is "partial 16S ribosomal RNA". It matches the Rfam family "Bacterial small subunit ribosomal RNA", at positions 30 to 523 of the family's 1533-position model. The record is from RNAcentral.
AUUGAACGCUGGCGGCAGGCUUAACACAUGCAAGUCGAGCGGUAACAGAGAGAAGCUUACUUCUCUGCUGACGAGCGGCGGACGGGUGAGUAAUGCCUAGGAAUCUGCCUAGUAGUGGGGGAUAACUUGCCGAAAGGUAAGCUAAUACCGCAUACGUCCUAUGGGAGGAAGGAGGGGACCUUCGGGCCUUUCGCUAUUAGAUGAGCCUAGGUCGGAUUAGUUAGUUGGUGAGGUAAUGGCUUACCAAGACCCCGAUCCGUAACUGGUCUGAGAGGAUGAUCAGUCACACUGGAACUGAGACACGGUCCAGACUCCUACGGGAGGCAGCAGUGGGGAAUAUUGGACAAUGGGGGGAACCCUGAUCCAGCCAUGCCGCGUGUGUGAAGAAGGUCUUAGGAUUGUAAAGCACUUUAAGUUGGGAGGAAGAGCAGUUAACUAAUAUUUGACUGUUUUGACGUUACCGACAGAAUAAGCACCGGCUAACUUCGUGCCAGCCGCCGCCGUAA